AAUGAAGUGACAUGAAGGAUCUCCUAAUAGUCGGAAUAAUUGUUGGAAACGGCAACUAAUACCCUAUACGCCCUACGGGGGAAAAAUUUAUUGCUAUUAGAUGAGCCUAUAUUAGAUUAGCUAGUUGGUGGAGUAAUAGCCUACCAAGGCAAUGAUCUAUAGCUGAUCUGAGAGGAUGAUCAGCCACACUGGAACUGAGAUACGGUCCAGACUUCUACGGGAGGCAGCAGUGGGGAAUAUUGGACAAUGGGCGAAAGCCUGAUCCAGCCAUGUCGCAUGAGUGAAGAAGGCCUUUGGGUUGUAAAGUCUUUUAGUGAGGAAGAUAAUGACGGUACUCACAGAAGAAGUCCUGGCUAACUCCGUGCCAGCAGCCGCGGUAAUACGGAGAGGGCUAGCGUUAUUCGGAAUUAUUGGGCGUAAAGGGCGCGUAGGCUGAUUAAUAAGUUAAAAGUGAAAUCCCGAGGCUUAACCUUGGAAUUGCUUUUAAAACUAUUAAUCUAGAGAUUGAAAGAGGAUAGAGGAAUUCCUGAUGUAGAGGUAAAAUUCGUAAAUAUUAGGAGGAACACCAGUGGCGAAGGCGUCUAUCUGGUUCAAAUCUGACGCUGAGGCGCGAAGGCGUGGGGAGCAAACAGGAUUAGAUACCCUGGUAGUCCACGCUGUAAACGAUGAAUGUUAAAUAUGGGAAGUUUACUUUCUGUAUUACAGCUAACGCGUUAAACAUUCCGCCUGGGGACUACGGUCGCAAGAUUAAAACUCAAAGGAAUUGACGGGGACCCGCACAAGCGGUGGAGCAUGGGUUAAUCAGCAACUUGAACCUCU
This 819-nucleotide ribosomal RNA is filed under the name Wolbachia endosymbiont of Bactericera cockerelli. RNAcentral's name for it is "bacterial SSU rRNA". It matches the Rfam family "Bacterial small subunit ribosomal RNA", at positions 100 to 973 of the family's 1533-position model. The record is from RNAcentral. Lineage: Bacteria; Pseudomonadati; Pseudomonadota; Alphaproteobacteria; Rickettsiales; Anaplasmataceae.